Molecule: ribosomal RNA, 588 nt
Filed under: uncultured bacterium
Lineage: Bacteria
Description: bacterial SSU rRNA
Rfam family: Bacterial small subunit ribosomal RNA
Source: RNAcentral
CCUACGGGAGGCAGCAGUGGGGAAUCUUGCGCAAUGCACGAAAGUGUGACGCAGCAACGCCGCGUGCGGGAAGAAGGUCUUCGGAUCGUAAACCGCUUUCAGUUGGGACGAGGGUUACACGGUGAAUAGCCGGAGCAACUGACGGUACCUUCAGAAGAAGCCCCGGCUAACUACGUGCCAGCAGCCGCGGUAAUACGUAGGGGGCAAGCGUUAUCCGGAAUCAUUGGGCGUAAAGCGCGUGUAGGCGGUUCAGUAAGUCCGCUCUGAAAACCCCAGGGCUCAACCCUGGGAGGCGGGUGGAUACUACUGAACUAGAGUACGGAAGAGGAGAUUGGAAUUCCUGGUGUAGCGGUGAAAUGCGCAGAUAUCAGGAGGAACACCAACAGCGAAGGCAGAUCUCUGGGACGUAACUGACGCUGAGACGCGAAAGCGUGGGGAGCAAACAGGAUUAGAUACACUGGUAGUCCACGCCGUAAACGAUGAAUACUAGGUGUGGGAGGUAUCGACUCCUUCCGUGCCGAAGCUAACGCAUUAAGUAUUCCGCCUGGGGAGUACGGCCGCAAGGCUAAAACUCAAAGGAAUUGACGG